UGUACUGCCUUACAAGCUCACGUGAACGGUUUCAAACUCUGUUCUGUCUGAUCUCAUCUUUUAUGUAUUUUAUAUCAUUUUUGGCAGAAGGAACUUGAUGACGACACAAAAUACAAGCAAAAUAUCCGAAAGAUACACUACCAAGCUAUAAAUAACUCUCAUUUCGCAAUGGGACAGCUCAAGCGAACGUUACGUAUGUGCUGAUACGGACGGACGGAUGACAACUGUGGAUGAAAAAUUACGGAUAGAUGACAAUUGCGGGUAGAAGAACGAAUUUGACAGACAGAUGAGCUAAUAUCAUACAAAACGUAUGUUUUAAGGCUAGUCCACGUUUUAUCCGACGGGUGAAACGCGGAUAUGGUUUAAAAUAUGGCUUUCACGCUAUUUCAAUGAUCCGCGUUUUAAUCUAACCAGUAUUUUAAUAUAUGAGAGAAUAAAGCCAAGUUUUCACUAGCGACAUAAGCACAAGCAAGAAAGCAAAGCAAACCAUGUUCUCCAGAGAUUGGUGGAAAUAAAAGAAAAAGGAUUUUCUUUUCAAUUUAAUUUUGUUUUACCUUAUGCUUAUGUUUAUGCUUAUGCUGAUGCUAAUGCUUCUGACA
This is a long non-coding RNA of Xenia sp. Carnegie-2017, 599 nucleotides long. RefSeq lists it as uncharacterized. NCBI's taxonomy places the organism in Eukaryota, Metazoa, Cnidaria, Anthozoa, Malacalcyonacea, Xeniidae. The transcript is spliced from 2 exons. The record is from RefSeq and is a predicted model, not a curated record.